GACGAACGCUGGCGGCGUGCCUAAUACAUGCAAGUUGAGCGCUGAAGGUUGGUACUUGUACCAACUGGAUGAGCAGCGAACGGGUGAGUAACGCGUGGGGAAUCUGCCUUUGAGCGGGGGACAACAUUUGGAAACGAAUGCUAAUACCGCAUAAAAACUUUAAACACAAGUUUUAAGUUUGAAAGAUGCAAUUGCAUCACUGAAAGAUGAUCCCGCGUUGUAUUAGCUGGUUGGUGAGGUAAAGGCUCACCAAGGCGAUGAUACAUAGCCAACCUGAGAGGGUGAGCGGCCACAUUGGGACUGAGACACGGCCCAAACGCCUACGGGAGGCAGCAGUAGGGAAUCUUCGGCAAUGGACGAAAGUCUGACCGAGCAACGCCGCGUGAGUGAAGAAGGUUUUCGGAUCGUAAAACUCUGUUGGUAGAGAAGAACGUUGGUGAGAGUGGAAAGCUCAUCAAGUGACGGUAACUACCCAGAAAGGGACGGCUAACUACGUG
RNAcentral lists this ribosomal RNA (497 nucleotides) under uncultured bacterium. Its description in RNAcentral is "partial 16S ribosomal RNA". It matches the Rfam family "Bacterial small subunit ribosomal RNA", at positions 28 to 507 of the family's 1533-position model. The record is from RNAcentral.